ACUGCUUUUCUUUAAUGUCCGAAUAUUGACGAACCCGAUAGUUUACCCUCAUGGUUUUCACACUAUCGGGUUUUUAUUU
This 79-nucleotide small RNA is filed under the name Moellerella wisconsensis ATCC 35017. RNAcentral's name for it is "RybB RNA". It matches the Rfam family "RybB RNA". From Rfam's summary of the family: This ncRNA was identified in a large scale screen of E. coli. The function of this short RNA is unknown. The record is from Rfam by way of RNAcentral. Lineage: Bacteria; Pseudomonadati; Pseudomonadota; Gammaproteobacteria; Enterobacterales; Morganellaceae.